GAGGGAGGGGUUUAUUUUAUAUAAAUUAAAAUAUUUUUAUUGCAUAAAAAAGAAAUACUACCUCU
Molecule: transfer RNA, 65 nt
Filed under: Symsagittifera roscoffensis
Lineage: Eukaryota; Metazoa; Xenacoelomorpha; Acoela; Convolutidae
Description: tRNA-Ala
Source: RNAcentral